This 260-nucleotide ribosomal RNA is filed under the name uncultured bacterium. RNAcentral's name for it is "partial small subunit ribosomal RNA". It matches the Rfam family "Bacterial small subunit ribosomal RNA", at positions 26 to 284 of the family's 1533-position model. The record is from RNAcentral.
AGGACGAACGCUGGCGGCGUGCUUAACACAUGUAAGUCGAGCGAGGCCCCUUCCUUCGGGAGGGGAGCCCUAGCGGCGAACGGGUGAGUAACACGUGGGCAAUCUGCCCCUAGCACUGGGAUAACUCCGGGAAACCGGGGCUAAUACCGGAUAUGACCUCCGAGGGCAUCCUCUGGAGGUGGAAAGGAUUCUGGCUAGGGAUGAGCCCGCGGCCUAUCAGCUAGUUGGUGGGGUAAUGGCCCACCAAGGCGACGACGGGU